RNAcentral lists this long non-coding RNA (1232 nucleotides) under Homo sapiens (human). RNAcentral describes it as "HSALNT0082220". Lineage: Eukaryota; Metazoa; Chordata; Mammalia; Primates; Hominidae. The record is from RNAcentral.
CUGUCACAGGAGGACGUGCAGCAGGAGCAGGGAUCCCAGGAUACCUCACAUGGAAGGGCAGUCACGUGGCAUGGAUCUGUCAGAACAGUUCACCAACAUCCAGAGGCCUCUCCAGGAAGGGCAGAUGAUACCGUGAGACCUGCAGAGUCCACGCCCGCCAUCCCCACUCUGCCACUACGCUUUCUCUCGCUGCAAAGCCAUUUGCAGAACAUGUACAAACCACGGAGCUAAGAACACAGAGCUAACAGGACUGUCCGUUUGGUGACAGAUUUUUAGGUAGUCCAUAGAAUUUCUACUUCUACAAAAACAGAAAACUACGUUUCAGAGGAUGUUUCCAAUUUAAGCAGAUUUAAAGAGAAGAAAAGGAAAGAUCUUAAAAUAGAACUUCAUUCAGCUUGCUGGAUAGGUUCUCUGUUCUGUGAAAAGUAUAUAAAUGAUACACAUAUUUGACUAGGUUGAAAUAGGUAAAAUAUGACAAAAAUUUGGUUAUAAUACUCAACCAACACUAGUAGCUUUAAGUCAAAGACAAGAAGCAAACAGUUACGUGGACAGGUUGUUGGUCCCCAGAGCCACAGCACUCCUGCACAGGCUCAUAUUAAUUAGCGCAAUAUUAAAUGCCCCCGAGUUAGGCAAAGAAGACCCUGGUGGACAUGGGCAAUGGGCAAGGAGCGAAGUUCCAGCAAGCACCAGCCUGGCCUGGGCCGGGUGCACGCCAAGGCACACCAAGCUGUAGUGCAGUCUCUGGCAGCCCCCACGGGUGUUCCUCAACUGCCCCUCCAUCUCUUCACCUGACACGCAUCUUUCCACACUUCCUUCAUGCCCUAGAAAUUAGUUAAGACACACUCCAAGUGAAUAAUUAGCAUGCCUAAUUUUAGCCAACAAAAUAUACUGAUUUUUCCUAAAGGAGUUUCUACACUGUGAUACCAAUUGUCCUGCCAGGAAUCUCUGAAGAAAUAACUUGGGCUGAUAAUUCUUCUGCCAAAAAAUGUAUCUUGUAAUGAAUACGAGGUCCAAUGUGUAAAUAUUAUUCUAUCACUUUUGUUCAUUUCCAAAAGCAUAUAAACGUAAGUCUACUGUACACUACUUACUUUCUCUGUAAAGCAAGGACCACAGAAUAAAUGACCUACAAAUUUCCAGCUUCUCUCUCACCUUUAAAUCUCAAUAUUUACACACAGUUUCUUAUAUACUUACCAACCACACUGCCCACAAUCCCAACACCUCCCCGCCUCCCA